Taeniopygia guttata (zebra finch) is the source of this 883-nucleotide non-coding RNA. NCBI's taxonomy places the organism in Eukaryota, Metazoa, Chordata, Aves, Passeriformes, Estrildidae. The record is from RefSeq and is a predicted model, not a curated record.
GCAAAAAAGGCACACAAGGCACACCUGCCCCUUCCCUCCUGCCCCUCGCCAUACCCGCCCGAGCAAAAGCACGCCCCGCCUGCCCCCUGCCCGGCACGCAGCAAAAGAAGCCUACAGCACCUGGUAUUCCCAGGCGGUCUGCCAUCUAUGUACUAACCACGCCGAUGCUGUUUAUCUUCUGAGACUUCAUUGCCUUUCAUUAGUUGCUUCUGUAGUCAUAGUCUUAGUAGUGCGGGCUGUUUUUCAAUUUGCUUAGUUGCCGUUGCGAAGGUACUGAGGAAUCUAAUGUCGCUUUUUCGUGUCUGAGGACCGUUCGGACCGUUCUCCGAGUAGCCCUCUGCGGAGUGCAGUCGGGUAGCUCAGCGUGCCUGGCAGCGCCGGGCUGCCCUGGUUUGGCGGGAACCGGGUGCGUUUGGAAUGGGCGAAUGCCAUUGGUGAACGUGAUGCCAGCCGGUCGCCAUUGGCCGAUCCAUUGCCUGCCGCGUGCUGCGAUUGGCUGCGAUUGGUGGCGCUUGACGUCCCCAGCUCCACUGCUUCAGAUUCAGUUCCUGCAUCUUCCCACCACUUCCAUAUGAAGCUGCUCAUGAAUCAGGGCUGGAUCUUCUUUUCACAUCCAUCUCUCUCAUGCUUCAGUCCAGCUCUAGAAUUGACAUUCCAGCUCCAGCCUGUCACAGGAGUAUCCUUGGUGACUAUCCCUAAAACCCAAUGGAAGAAUCUUCACAUUCUCCAAGGAGGAAUAUAUUACUAGAACCUACUACACGGAAAGUAGACUGCACUUUUAUAGCAUGAAUGAGGUGACCACCAGUGAUAUGCCUACAGGUCAGUUUAGCAGUUUAUCUGCCAAAUCUUUUUCUUGUUAUCAGCAGGCUGAGUUGAGGCUAAU